This 788-nucleotide ribosomal RNA is filed under the name Cryptosporidium xiaoi. RNAcentral describes it as "SSU rRNA". It matches the Rfam family "Eukaryotic small subunit ribosomal RNA", at positions 220 to 1067 of the family's 1831-position model. Lineage: Eukaryota; Apicomplexa; Conoidasida; Eucoccidiorida; Cryptosporidiidae. The record is from RNAcentral.
AACCAAUAUUUUUGGUGACUCAUAAUAACUUUACGGAUCACAUUAUGUGACAUAUCAUUCAAGUUUCUGACCUAUCAGCUUUAGACGGUAGGGUAUUGGCCUACCGUGGCUAUGACGGGUAACGGGGAAUUAGGGUUCGAUUCCGGAGAGGGAGCCUGAGAAACGGCUACCACAUCUAAGGAAGGCAGCAGGCGCGCAAAUUACCCAAUCCUAAUACAGGGAGGUAGUGACAAGAAAUAACAAUACAGAACCUUACGGUUUUGUAAUUGGAAUGAGUUAAGUAUAAACCCCUUAACAAGUAUCAAUUGGAGGGCAAGUCUGGUGCCAGCAGCCGCGGUAAUUCCAGCUCCAAUAGCGUAUAUUAAAGUUGUUGCAGUUAAAAAGCUCGUAGUUAAUCUUCUGUUAAUUUUUAUAUAUAAUAUUUCGAUAUUUAUAUAAUAUUAACAUAAUUCAUAUUACUUUUUAGUAUAUGAAACUUUACUUUGAGAAAAUUAGAGUGCUUAAAGCAGGCUAUUGCCUUGAAUACUCCAGCAUGGAAUAAUAUUAAGGAUUUUUAUUCUUCUUAUUGGUUCUAGAAUAAAAAUGAUGAUUAAUAGGAACAGUUGGGGGCAUUUGUAUUUAACAGUCAGAGGUGAAAUUCUUAGAUUUGUUAAAGACAAACUACUGCGAAAGCAUUUGCCAAGGAUGUUUUCAUUAAUCAAGAACGAAAGUUAGGGGAUCGAAGACGAUCAGAUACCGUCGUAGUCUUAACCAUAAACUAUGCCAACUAGAGAUUGGAGGUUGUUCCU